GUGUCAGCAGCCGCGGUAAUACGUAGGGGGCAAGCGUUGUCCGGAUUUACUGGGUGUAAAGGGCGCGUAGGCGGAUUUAUAAGUCAGUGGUGAAAGCCUGCAGCUUAACUGCAGAACUGCCUCUGAUACUGUAAAUCUUGAGUUCGGAAGAGAGAAGCGGAAUUCCAGGUGUAGUAGUGAAAUACGUAGAUAUCUGGAAGAACACCAGUGGCGAAGGCGGCUUCUUGGUCCGUAACUGACGCUGAGGCGCGAAAGCGUGGGGAGCAAACAGGAUUAGAAACCCCCGUAGUCC
RNAcentral lists this ribosomal RNA (292 nucleotides) under uncultured bacterium. RNAcentral's name for it is "partial 16S ribosomal RNA". It matches the Rfam family "Bacterial small subunit ribosomal RNA", at positions 505 to 796 of the family's 1533-position model. The record is from RNAcentral.